GCUGGUUGUGGAGAGGCUGGUUGUGGAGAGGCUGGCUGUGGAGAGGCUGGCUUUGGAGAGGCUGGCUGUGCUGGCUGUUGAUGAAGAGAGGCUGGUUGUGGAGAGGCUGGUUGUGAAGAGGCUGGUUGUGCUGGCUGUGGAGGCUGGUUGUGCUGGCUGUUGAUGAGGAGAGGGGAUUAGGACUUGGUUGAUCCUCAGUGAGGAAGUUGCUCUGUUACCCACUUCACCAACGGGAUGUAACUCCUGCUGUUCACCCCCCACGCUGGUCUGUCAGCUGCCCCCCCCCACCACCUCCCACGCUGGUCUGAGGUGAGGUGAGCCUGUGCUGUAACACAGCCAGCAGCAGCUGUGAGGUGAGCCUGUGCUGUAACACAGCCAGCAGCAGCUGUGAGGUGAGCCUGUGCUGUAACACAGCCAGCAGCUGUGAGGUGAGCCUGUGCUGUAACACAGCCAGCACAGGCUGUGAGGUGAUCCUGUGCUGUAACACAGCCAGCAGCAGCUGUGAGGUGAGCCUGUGCUGUAACACAGCCAGCAGCAGCUGUGAGGUGAGCCUGUGCUGUAACACAGCCAGCAGCUGUGAGGUGAGCCUGUGCUGUAACACAGCCAGCACAGGCUGUGAGGUGAGCCUGUGCUGUAACACAGCCAGCAGCUGUGAGGUGAGCCUGUGCUGUAACACAGCCAGCAGCAGCUGUGAGGUGAGCCUGUGCUAUAACACAGCCAGCAGCAGCUGUGAGGUGUGCAGCAUGAGAAACACUGAGGGGACAGGAGAACACAGUGUGUAUCACUGUUUAGUAGUUUGACUUCAAGGUUCCAUAAAAGGCCUGGACUAGGCUACAUGUAUCGUGGUCUUGGUCAGGCUAGACGACCUUGUCGUACUGCAGGCCGCACAGCCACAUCAGUGUUGAAACCAUGCUGACAUAAUAAUGUAUGACAUAAUGGUGACUGGGCUGAAUUUCCCUCUCGUCACGCCCAGCAGCUAGCUCAGCUAGCUCAGAUUCACCUGGCUCCCGUCUGAGAGAAGCCUGGUAGGAACACCAGAGAGAGUGGUUAUGGUUCCCUGACUGCAGCCUUGUCUAGAAGAUGUGUGUGUGUGUGUGUCUCCUGGCUGUUUCCUGGUGUGGGGGAGGGGGUGCGGCUUCCUAGAGUUCUGGCUGGGGCUAAACACUCAUGUUAUGGAAAUCUCUCUCCGUGUGUGUGUGUGUGUGUGACAGACAAGCCAAGGUGUGUGUUGUGAGACGGGUGGGAGGGGCUGGUAUGUAGGUUAAAGGUAAAGAUGUCACAGAGGACGUCUUCACACACACUCCAGUCUCAGCUGGGAUAGAGCUAGUUCACAUCUCAUAUUCAUGAAGUCCUUCAGGCUCUUAAAGAGACACAUACAGCAGUGUGAAGUCCUUCAGGCUCUUAAAGAGCCACAUACACAUACAGCAGUGUGAAGUCCUUCAGGCUCUUAAAGAGCCACAUACACAUACAGCAGUGUGAAGUCCUUCAGGCUCUUAAAGAGACACAUACACAUACAGCAGUGUGUGU
Molecule: long non-coding RNA, 1527 nt
Organism: Hypomesus transpacificus
Lineage: Eukaryota; Metazoa; Chordata; Actinopteri; Osmeriformes; Osmeridae
Exons: 3
Source: RefSeq, a predicted model, not a curated record